This 144-nucleotide unclassified non-coding RNA is filed under the name uncultured fungus. RNAcentral describes it as "sequence contains ITS1, 5.8S rRNA gene". Lineage: Eukaryota; Fungi. The record is from RNAcentral.
ACGAAGCCAUUUUUGGCAUCUAUUCUUUCAUUUCUGUGAACUUAUCUAUUGCUUUGGGUGGGUUGUGUUUUAACACUCUCACCCAAAUUUUAAAACUCUAAACAUUUAUUGAUUGUCUGACAGAUUAAAUAAAAAAAUUAAUCA